UUAUUUAAAGUUUGAUUUUAGCUUUUAUAUUUAUAAUAUAUUUAUUUUGCAUGUAAAUUUUUGUGAGAAAAUUUAAAAUUUUUAAAUAAAAUAUUUAAAUUUAAUUUUUAAUUGCAGCAUUUAAUUUUAAUAAUUAAAGAUAUUUAGAAUUAUUAUUUAUUUUAAUAUAGAUAAAAAAUGUGCCAGCAAUUGCGGUUAUACAUUUUAUAUAAGUAAAUAAGUUUUAUUAAGUAAUUUAUAUGAAAUUUUAAUUUAAAUUUAAAUUAAAUUAGGUGAAAUUAUUUAUUUUGUUAAAAAUUAUUUUUAAUAUUAUUUAAUUAUUAAAUCUUUAUUAAAACUAGGAUUAGAUACCCUAUUAUUUUAGAUAUAAAAUUUGAAUAGAGGAUUAAUAGUUAUUUACUUUAAACUUAAAAAAAUUGGCGGUAUUUAAAUCUAAUUAGGGGAACUUGUUUUUUAAAUGAUAAUCCUCAAGAAAUCUUACUUAAAUUAAAAAUUUAUUUAUUGUCGUUAUCAGAUUAUUUUAUAAGAAUUUUAAUUUUCUAUAAUAUUUAAAUUAUAUUUAUUUCAGAUCAUUAUGUAGUUUAUAUUUAAGUUAAAAUGAGUUACAAUAAAAUUUAUCUAAACGCAUUUUUUAUUGAAAUAUAAGAAUUAAGGUGGACUUAAUAGUAAAAUUUAAAAAUUAAAUUAUUUUGAAUUAAGAAUUAAAUAUGCACAUAUUGCCCGUCACUCUCAUUUUAAAAUGAGAUAAGUCGUAACAAAGUAGAAGUACUGGAAAGUGUUUCUAGAAAGUUUUAUUUAUUGAAAUU
This 806-nucleotide non-coding RNA is filed under the name Allantus togatus. Lineage: Eukaryota; Metazoa; Arthropoda; Insecta; Hymenoptera; Tenthredinidae. The record is from RNAcentral.